Dermacentor andersoni is the source of this 421-nucleotide non-coding RNA. The record is from RefSeq and is a predicted model, not a curated record. NCBI's taxonomy places the organism in Eukaryota, Metazoa, Arthropoda, Arachnida, Ixodida, Ixodidae.
UCAUCACAUGUGCAUUUGCAACACAUUGGCGGAGGCAAUACGAACUGCAUUUCUCGCUAGCUGGACAAAUCGGAAUGGCAAUGCAUCUUGGAGAACAAGACUCGAAUUGUGAAAGUCUGGUGGUUUUCGCCAAGUUUCACAGAACUUUGUUUUAUGUCAAGAUGGGCUAACACCAUGUCACCUGAUGCUGUCACUCUCUGUUCUAUCUGCAUCCCCUCUCGCCUCACACGUAAGCCUCACUGCAGUUUCUGCAGUGCUUCUGAGGGGAGUCACGGAUAAUUGCAGCUGUCAAGUGGCUAAUGUGACAACGGCCAGGGAGCUCCAGAGGGCAUUGUGCACACUCGAUGCGGUGGGGUCAAAACAAGUUUCUCCCAUGUCCUUUCCUCUUUUACUUGUGCCUGUCAUGUAUAUACACACACUG